RNAcentral lists this ribosomal RNA (447 nucleotides) under uncultured bacterium. RNAcentral's name for it is "partial 16S ribosomal RNA". It matches the Rfam family "Bacterial small subunit ribosomal RNA", at positions 29 to 523 of the family's 1533-position model. The record is from RNAcentral.
AGCGAACGCUGGCGGCAGGCCUAAUACAUGCAAGUCGAGCGCCCUUUCGGGGGAGCGGCGGACGGGUGAGUAACGCGUGGGAACGUGCCCUUUGGUACGGAACAACACAGGGAAACUUGUGCUAAUACCGUAUGUGCCCUUCGGGGGAAAGAUUUAUCGCCAUUGGAGCGGCCCGCGUUGGAUUAGGUAGUUGGUGAGGUAAAGGCUCACCAAGCCUACGAUCCAUAGCUGGUCUGAGAGGAUGAUCAGCCACACUGGGACUGAGACACGGCCCAGACUCCUACGGGAGGCAGCAGUAUGGAAUCUUGCGCAAUGGGCGAAAGCCUGACGCAGCCAUGCCGCGUGAAUGAUGAAGGUCUUAGGAUUGUAAAAUUCUUUCACCGGGGAAGAUAAUGACGGUACCCGGAGAAGAAGCCCCGGCUAACUCCGUGCCAGCCGCCGCGGUAC